RNAcentral lists this ribosomal RNA (279 nucleotides) under uncultured bacterium. Its description in RNAcentral is "partial 16S ribosomal RNA". It matches the Rfam family "Bacterial small subunit ribosomal RNA", at positions 506 to 784 of the family's 1533-position model. The record is from RNAcentral.
UGCCAGCAGCCGCGGUAAUACGGAGGGGGUUAGCGUUGUUCGGAAUUACUGGGCGUAAAGCGUACGUAGGCGGAUUGGAAAGUAGGGGGUGAAAUCCCGGGGCUCAACCGUGAAACGGCCUCCUAAACUGCAGUGCUCGAGCACGGUAGAGGCAGAUGGAAUUCCCGGUGUAGCGGUGGAAUGCGUAGAUAUCGGGAAGAACACCAGUGGCGAAGGCGGUCUGCUGGGCCGUUGCUGACGCUGAGGCGCGACAGCGUGGGGAGCAAACAGGAUUAGAUA